GUUCUCCUCAUUACUAUGUGGGUCCUCUGGUUUCCAAAGAUGUACAGGUCAAGCAGCAUCUGUGGAGACAAAGGAAAGGUCAAUAUUUUGGGUCGAGACUCUGCAUCGGGACUAUAUCAUAGUGAGAAGGAGGGGUCGGAAAGAGGCUGGUAGCCACAAAGCAAGAAACCCAGAAGAGCAAAAUUAAAGAAAAAAAAGAAUUAAAAUAAAAAUAAAAGAUCUACAGCCAAUGCACGAGAGAAAGAAAGAAAUACACAAAAUUCAUGCAAACAAUUGAAGCAAACAACAACAAUCCAAACUAAAAAUUGUGUCCUCAGAUCCAAACCCCAGAGCAGCCCAGGGUAAGCCCAAAGCCUCGUUUUUCAGUUCAUCAUAUUAGCAGCCACGGAGCACAACAGCUGGGCUAGUCAUCAUAGCCUCAGCGCCAUAUAGAGAAUUGAAUGACCUUCGCGGAGAACUUCGCCCUGGAUCCCAACACCCUAUGUUUUCAGUGUAUCUGGGCUAGCAUUUAAAUGGGCCAAAUGACGGAACAGCGAAAGGCUCUGGAGAGAGGAGAGAAUAUCGCGGAGAGCAAAGAAGAUCGGCUCUCGCCUUCGAUCUGGGCUGGCGCUUAAAUUGUCUGAACAGCGUAUUGUACCUCGCACUAAGACCCAGGCACCACUGCAGCAAAAGGCUCCAGGCCUAGACCACACCGCUCAGUGACUUGCUUCGGGCCCAGAUUGCGUCGCCCAACCCAAAGCCAUUCUCAAACUCUUCAAAUCAGCUCAGUGCCCAGAAUGAUCCAACCUCACACCCAGGUCUGUUGUACAAGCACCAAAUCUCCUCAGCCCACGCCCUGACUUCUACUUUCAGCGCCCAGAGCAAUCCAGCUUUGCUGCUGGGCCAGCUGUAUGGGCUUUGGAACUCCAUCUGGAACGAUUCUGCAACACACCAUCUUGACUCACCCUCCGAACUCGCCUCGCCAUCGCUCGCCCCUUCACUGUUUGUGGCAAUAAUUUAACAUAUUGUAGUCUGUCUGGAAAAAAUUCCAACAAAAUUGAUUUAAUUCAAAUACUUCCUGAAAAUAUUUUUAUCUUCAAACCCACAGCCAAAUUUUCAAUCACAAUGA
Molecule: long non-coding RNA, 1108 nt
Organism: Hypanus sabinus (Atlantic stingray)
Lineage: Eukaryota; Metazoa; Chordata; Chondrichthyes; Myliobatiformes; Dasyatidae
Exons: 3
Source: RefSeq, a predicted model, not a curated record